This 168-nucleotide small nuclear RNA is filed under the name Haemaphysalis longicornis (longhorned tick). Its description in RNAcentral is "U1 spliceosomal RNA". It matches the Rfam family "U1 spliceosomal RNA". From Rfam's summary of the family: U1 is a small nuclear RNA (snRNA) component of the spliceosome (involved in pre-mRNA splicing). Its 5' end forms complementary base pairs with the 5' splice junction, thus defining the 5' donor site of an intron. There are significant differences in sequence and secondary structure between metazoan and yeast U1 snRNAs, the latter being much longer (568 nucleotides as compared to 164 nucleotides in human). Lineage: Eukaryota; Metazoa; Arthropoda; Arachnida; Ixodida; Ixodidae. The record is from Rfam by way of RNAcentral.
AUACUUACCUAGUGCCGGGGCCUUGUUGACCACCGAGAACGAGUUCCCGGGGCGAGACAGGGGCAGUGCACUGCGCUCGCGUUGACCCCUGCCACUACCCCAAACUGGGGCAGAUGGGGCAUGGAAAUUGCUUAAAUCCGGUUCAACGCAAGAGAGUGCGCCACCGUC